UGGGGAAUUUUGCACAAUGGGGGAAACCCUGAUGCAGCGACGCCGCGUGAUUUAGAAGGCCUUCGGGUUGUAAAAAUCUUUUCUAUGGGAAGAAAAUGACAGUACCAUAGGAAUAAGGACCGGCUAAUUACGUGCCAGCAGCCGCGGUAAUACGUAAGGUCCGAGCGUUGUCCGGAAUCAUUGGGCGUAAAGGGUACGUAGGCGGGUAAGCAAGUUAGAAGUGAAAUCCUAUAGCUCAACUAUAGUAAGCUUUUAAAACUGCUCAUCUUGAGGUAUGGAAGGGAAAGUGGAAUUCCUAGUGUAGCGGUGAAAUGCGCAGAUAUUAGGAGGAAUACCGGUGGCGAAGGCGACUUUCUGGCCGUAACCUGACGCUGAGGUACGAAAGCGUGGGUAGCAAACAGG
Molecule: ribosomal RNA, 402 nt
Filed under: bacterium
Lineage: Bacteria
Description: partial 16S ribosomal RNA
Rfam family: Bacterial small subunit ribosomal RNA
Source: RNAcentral